AAUAAGGGCCGCGUUACUCAGUACGGUGCAGUGGAUGGAGAGCGCAGGAGGACAGCGCAGCCGGGAGCACUGGGGAAGGGCUGUGCAUCUGCAAGAGGAAGCUCAGACUAAGGAGUAUGUAGAGAUUCGCAGGGGGGCCCAGGUUGCCGUCUCCCUGCUGGCUUGCUUAUCCUGCGUACUAGUAAAAAACCUGUGAGGAUCAUGGCAACCAUUCCAAGGUUCUCUUUAAGCUGCCUGAACUGAUGAUGAACGUACCCAGCCUGAGGUUGCCUGCAAAACAAUGAUGAUAAAAAACUCAAAAACUGCACAUAAAGGUGAACUUUAGAGAGUUCUGCCAAGAUGGCAGACUAGUAAAAGCAGCACCCACACAAACAAAAUAUCAACACCGAUAAAGACGGCAGCCCCCGAAAAAUAUCAGAUAUCUGGAAGAUCAAUGUUUUCACUGGGAAAAGUGACAACAUCAAAGGUGAGAAGAUGAGGCCUAUCAAAUGUGGGCAUGGCACCACAACUGACUGCCCUUGUGCAGAAGGCUCUGUGGUCUAAGUUAAUUCUGCUGGCCUCUAACCCAAUGAGUACUGCUACAGGGCUCCAUUUCACCUCUCCAAGGACUAUUGUUAUGUGACCCAGAGGCUGCUGUGACUGGAGCAAAACACUACUGUGAAUGAUGCCAAA
Long non-coding RNA from Talpa occidentalis (Iberian mole), 672 nucleotides. RefSeq lists it as uncharacterized. The transcript has 3 exons. The record is from RefSeq and is a predicted model, not a curated record. Lineage: Eukaryota; Metazoa; Chordata; Mammalia; Eulipotyphla; Talpidae.